Molecule: small RNA, 452 nt
Filed under: Pongo abelii (Sumatran orangutan)
Lineage: Eukaryota; Metazoa; Chordata; Mammalia; Primates; Hominidae
Description: processed transcript
Source: RNAcentral
CAUCUCUGCCUGGAGACCUGAAACCCCAUGUGAUGUAAAGAAGGCAAAAUGACAAGGUCAACCUGCUCAGUAGCAAUUUGAAACAAUGCAGGUGGUUUGGAAAACAGUCCCCAUAAGGAGAAGGGCAGCUGGGGGAGGGGACAGGAGCGCUCUCUUCCCUUUAUUAAAAUGAGAUGCUUGGCCUAGAGCCUGCCAAGCUCCAAAGGAUGCACCUGUACACAACACUGUUUACUGAAAUAAAAAACACCUUCAAUAUUUUUUUUAGCUCGGAAUGAACAAGAGGAACAGGAGGAGAAGAGAGAGAUUAAGAGGAGGCUAACCCGAAAGCUCAGUCAAAGGCCCACGGUGGAAGAGCUUCGGGAAAGGAAGAUCCUCAUCCGCUUCAGUGACUACGUGGAGGUGGCUGACGCUCAGGACUAUGACCGCAGGGCAGAUAAGCCGUGGACCCGCCU